GCGCGAUACAGGGUGAGAGCCCCGUACACAAAAGCGCAUGUGCUGUGAGCUCGAUGAGUAGGGCGGGACACGUGGUAUCCUGUCUGAAUAUGGGGGGACCAUCCUCCAAGGCUAAAUACUCCUGACUGACCGAUAGUGAACCAGUACCGUGAGGGAAAGGCGAAAAGAACCCCGGCGAGGGGAGUGAAACAGAACCUGAAACCGUGUACGUACAAGCAGUGGGAGCCCCACCACUAAGCCAGUGGUGAACUCCACAUACGCAUCCUUUGCUGAGGAUACGGUUAACGGAGCGAAAGCGACGUUUAACCGCAAAAGAAGCAGAGGGGGCUUAGUGGUGGGGUGACUGCGUACCUUUUGUAUAAUGGGUCAGCGACUUAUAUUCUGUAGCAAGGUUAACCGCAUAGGGGAGCCGGAGGGAAACCGAGUCUUAAUUGGGCGUUAAGUUGCAGGGUAUAGACCCGAAACCCGGUGAUCUAGCCAUGGGCAGGUUGAAGGUUGGGUAACACUAACUGGAGGACCGAACCGACUAAUGUUGAAAAAUUAGCGGAUGACCUGUGGCUGGGGGUGAAAGGCCAAUCAAACCGGGAGAUAGCUGGUUCUCCCCGAAAGCUAUUUAGGUAGCGCCUCGUGAAUUCAUCUCCGGGGGUAGAGCACUGUUUCGGCCAGGGGGCCAUCCCGGCUUACCAAUCCGAUGCAAACUGCGAAUACCGGAGAAUGUUAUCACGGGAGACACACGGCGGGUGCUAACGUCCGUCGUGAAGAGGGAAACAACCCAGACCGCCAGCUAAGGUCCCAAAGUCAUGGUUAAGUGGGAAACGAUGUGGGAAGGCCCAGACAGCCAGGAUGUUGGCUUAGAAGCAGCCAUCAUUUAAAGAAAGCGUAAUAGCUCACUGGUCGAGUCGGCCUGCGCGGAAGAUGUAACGGGGCUAAACCAU
This 935-nucleotide ribosomal RNA is filed under the name Salmonella enterica. Its description in RNAcentral is "partial 23S ribosomal RNA". It matches the Rfam family "Bacterial large subunit ribosomal RNA", at positions 352 to 1190 of the family's 2925-position model. Lineage: Bacteria; Pseudomonadati; Pseudomonadota; Gammaproteobacteria; Enterobacterales; Enterobacteriaceae. The record is from RNAcentral.